GACGAACGCUGGCGGCGUGCUUAACACAUGCAAGUCGAACGGUGAAGUUCCUUCGGGAAUGGAUUAGUGGCGAACGGGUGAGAAACACGUUAGAAACCUGCCUUUCAUUUUGGGAUAACUCCGGGAAACCGGAGCUAACACCGAAUACUCCGUCUCGGCGGCAUCGCUGAGCCGGGAAAAAAUUUUGAUGAAAGAUGGUCUCGCGGCCUAUCAGCUAGUUGGUGAGGUAAUGGCUCACAAAGGCGACGACGGGUAGCCGGCCUGAGAGGGCGACCGGCCACACUGGGACUGAGACACGGGCCAGACUUCUACGGGAGGCAGCAGUGGGGAAUAUCGGGCAAUGGGCGCAAGCCUGACCCAGCGACGCCGCGUGAGGGAUGAAGGCCUUCGGGUUGUAAACCUCUUUCAGUAGGGAAGAAGCGAAAGUGACGGUACCUAAAGAAGAAGCACCGGCUAACUAUGUGCCAGCCGCCGCGGUAA
RNAcentral lists this ribosomal RNA (480 nucleotides) under uncultured bacterium. RNAcentral describes it as "partial 16S ribosomal RNA". It matches the Rfam family "Bacterial small subunit ribosomal RNA", at positions 28 to 523 of the family's 1533-position model. The record is from RNAcentral.